ACGCUCGACACCUACUGGAGGCAGCAGUCGGGAAUAUUGCGCAAUGGAGGAAACUCUGACGCAGUGACGCCGCGUAUAGGAAGAAGGUUUUCGGAUUGUAAACUAUUGUCGUUAGGGAAGAGAAAGGACAGUACCUAAGGAGGAAGCUCCGGCUAACUACGUGCCAGCACGCCGACGGUAAUCUGAGGCCGGGCGUGGACGAAGGC
This 206-nucleotide ribosomal RNA is filed under the name uncultured bacterium. RNAcentral's name for it is "partial 16S ribosomal RNA". It matches the Rfam family "Bacterial small subunit ribosomal RNA", at positions 328 to 538 of the family's 1533-position model. The record is from RNAcentral.